This 498-nucleotide ribosomal RNA is filed under the name uncultured bacterium. RNAcentral's name for it is "partial 16S ribosomal RNA". It matches the Rfam family "Bacterial small subunit ribosomal RNA", at positions 28 to 507 of the family's 1533-position model. The record is from RNAcentral.
GACGAACGCUGGCGGCGUGCCUAAUACAUGCAAGUCGAACGAGAGCGACCGGUGCUUGCACUGGUCAAUCUAGUGGCGAACGGGUGAGUAACACGUGGGUAGCCUGCCCAUCAGAGGGGGAUAACAUUCGGAAACGGAUGCUAAAACCGCAUAGGUCUUCGAACCGCAUGGUUUGAAGAGGAAAAGAGGCGCAAGCUUCUGCUGAUGGAUGGGCCCGCGGUGCAUUAGCUAGUUGGUGAGGUAACGGCUCACCAAGGCCGUGAUGCAUAGCCGACCUGAGAGGGUGAUCGGCCACAUUGGGACUGAGACACGGCCCAAACUCCUACGGGAGGCAGCAGUAGGGAAUCUUCCGCAAAGGACGCAAGUCUGACGGAGCAACGCCGCGUGAGUGAAGAAGGUUUUCGGAUCGUAAAACUCUGUUGUUAGAGAAGAACAAGUGCUAGAGUAACUGUUAGCGCCUUGACGGUAUCUAACCAGAAAGCCACGGCUAACUACGUG